CAGUAUAAAAACUAGAACCGCAACAUAUCUUAAAAGCAUAAGUAUUGUAUCAUUGUUAGAAGAUACAAUGACGAAGACUCAUAUGGACUUCGACUACACUAUCAAAGCUUUGAGAAGCAAGAAGCAGCUUGGUUAGUGUUUUGGAGUCGAAUAUGACUUGAUGUCAUGUGUAUGAGUAAGUAUAAAAACUAGAACCGCAACGGAUCUUAAAAGCCUAAAUAUUGUAUCCUUGUUAGAAAAUACAUAGACAAAGACUCAUACAGAAUUCGGCUAAACCAUCAAAGCUUUUAGAAGCAAGAAGAAGCUUGGUUAGUGUUUUGGAGUGAAAUAUGACUAGAUGUCAUGUGUAUGAGUGAGUAUACCAACUAGAACCACAAUUGGAAUUUUAAAAGCCUAAGUAUUGUAUCCUUGUUAGAAGAUACAAAGACAAACACUCAUACGGACUUUGGCUACAUAAUCAAAGCUUUGAGAAGCAAGAAGAAGCUUGGUUAGUGUUUUGGAGUCGAAUAUGACUUGAUGUGAUGUGUAUGAUUAAGUAUAAGAAAUUAAACCACAACCGGAUCUUAAAAGCCUAAGUAGUGUUUCCUUGUUAGAUGA
RNAcentral lists this small RNA (597 nucleotides) under Arabidopsis thaliana (thale cress). RNAcentral describes it as "ATSL269170". The record is from RNAcentral. Lineage: Eukaryota; Viridiplantae; Streptophyta; Magnoliopsida; Brassicales; Brassicaceae.